GCCGCGUUGGCGUAGUGGUAGCGCGUCUCACUUGUACCAUCGGGACAUGAGAAGGUCACUCGUUCAAUCCGGGUACGUGGCA
Collybia nuda is the source of this 82-nucleotide non-coding RNA. NCBI's taxonomy places the organism in Eukaryota, Fungi, Basidiomycota, Agaricomycetes, Agaricales, Clitocybaceae. The record is from the annotation of a GenBank genome assembly.